This 67-nucleotide transfer RNA is filed under the name Amphilius sp. NM-2010. RNAcentral describes it as "tRNA-Ser (AGY)". The record is from RNAcentral. Lineage: Eukaryota; Metazoa; Chordata; Actinopteri; Siluriformes; Amphiliidae.
GAAAGAGGCCAGAGGCUAUAAGGACUGCUAACCCCUGUUUCCACGGUUAAACUCCGUGGCUCAUUCG